RNAcentral lists this long non-coding RNA (6864 nucleotides) under Nicotiana benthamiana. RNAcentral describes it as "long non-coding RNA (NBEN_LNC008356)". The record is from RNAcentral. Lineage: Eukaryota; Viridiplantae; Streptophyta; Magnoliopsida; Solanales; Solanaceae.
CCUAUUCCGUUGCAAAUUUGGGAAAAAGCAAAACAUGAAGUUGUAUUCCUUUGAGUUAGCUUUCCAACCAUAUCUUUUGUAGCCCAAUUGGAGGUUUGAGCAAAACAUUAUGUCUAUUGUACUAGACAGUAUGCAAUCUACCCACUGGAUUUUUCGUUCGCUCUAGCUACCAUCCAUUGACCCCCAAACACGAUCCCGAUUUAAUUCCUUGAGCUUUUAUUCAUAUUCAAAGCUACAAAUUACUUGAAUUCAUUUCAUAACAUCUAUAUAGCUUGAAAUCACUCCUACAAGGCAUAAAACACAGUUAGUGUAAGAUACUAGUAAUUAAAGCUCAAACUCAAUCAAAGUACAGUAAAUUUGAGUGUAAUAGCGACUAAUAUACACAAUUAUAGCCUAUCAUCAAAACUCUCAAGUGAACGGAGGUGGGAGCUUCCAUGAAGAAACUUAUUACUCCAACAAUUCAAGUAUCUUAAGUUUCCUCUAAGGCUUUUGAAAUGGAAUCUACUUUUUCUCCAUUAUCAAACUUUGACAACUUUGUUCCAUUCUCCAUUGGUGUGUUCAAGGGUUUGCAAUCAUUGAACUUCUUCAAGACCUCCUUUGAAUAUUUUUCUUGAGAAAUAAAAACCUCUUUCUCCAUUUGCUUCAUUUUUAAGCCCAAAUAAUAUGACAUGAGCCAUAUGUUUAUCAUCACGAACUCAAAGGACAUAAAUUUCUUGAAGACUUCAAACAAACAUAGGUUAUUUCCCAUGAAAAUAAUAUCAUCAACAUGUAGACAAACGAGCAAGAUAUCUCUAUUAGCACGGUUAUCUUGAAGAUGAAGUAUAUGUUGCAUUGUAAAUAUAAUUUAGAAUUUUAUAAUUGUUGGAAAAUGUGGAUGUUCACCUUUAGUGGUUAGGUUUAGUAAGUUAUUUUUCUCUCUGUACUUGGUCAGUCGAUCACUGAAAGGUCAUAGCCCUUGGGUAUUAUGAAAAUUCACUAGAUCCUUGUUUUGUUGAGAAAUCAACUUAACCUUGAAGAAAUGAAGGCCAAUUUGAUCUUUGACUCUUAUAGAAAUGAAGAGCCGCUUGACCUUUGACUCUUGAAGAAAUGAAGAGCCACUUGGCUUUUGACCCUUCUAAAAAAGCAGGUCAUUUGCCUAUAAAUAGGAACUUUUGUAUUGAAUGAAUAAAGCAAGAAAGUUUAAGAGAUUCCCCCUAGUAAAUAUGUCUUCUUCCUUCUCUCCUAUAAUCCUCCUAUGUAUUCCACUUUGUCCGAUAUAACUUUGUCCCUCUUUAUUUUGGAUUUCCUUUUCAAACUUGAGAGGUUUUUUCUCUAAUUGCAUGAGUCUAAGCAUAAGUUUUCAGACUUCUCAAUCGCUCAUACCACAUAAUCAAAUUUAUGUUAAAGAGCGAAGGUAUUAAAUUACAAAACCUAGGAACUUUUCUACCACAAUGGCAUCUUCUUUUUCUCCUCAUACCUUUUCAAUUAUUUCACAACCUUCAUUUUUGAACAGAUGGAAUUUGUUACUUCUUUAUAGCUUCAAAAUCCACUUGUAGAGUUUGAAGAUUUAGUUUCUCUACUUUAUCAACUCCUUCGAGGGGAUUUUGUAAAACCUCUCAAGCUUCCCUUGAGGUGAUUUCAUCUAUCACCUUCUCAAUCGGAUCAUCCAGGUAUUGGUGAAUGAGUAUGAAGACUUACAGAUCCUUCUUCAUCAUCUUUGCCAAAGAAUCUUUUUCAAUUUAAGGCAAAACUUCCUCAUUGCAGGCUUUACAUAUCCUCAAUCUACGGUUUUCUACACAUCUUUCAAGACAAAUGACUUUCUUUCGUAGACACUACUUUUCAUAAGUUUCUUAUGUGAGACAAGGAAAUUGAAAAGAAACUGAAUCAUUGUUUUCCAUGAUUUUUAUACCACUAUGGUUGACAAAGAGGAAUACCUAAGAAAAUUGUAGGAGAAGAGAAGAAGAGGAAGACAAUACUUCUAUCAAGAUACGCUCUUUUUUUUUUUAUCUUGUAUAGGAAGAUCAUACUUUUUCUCUUAAACUAUCUUGUUUCAUUCAUUCUGAUAAAGGAUCUUAUUUAUAGGAUAUGUCUCCUCUCCAUUUCUUGUUGGCUCCAUUUCCUCAAGUUCUUACUUGGAUAUUGUAUUGAGAAAAAAAAUUAAAUUUACAUUAAAGCUGACGUGACAUGACACAUGAACUGGUGAAUUGGUCAAGACAUGAUGGUUAGUUAAGAGGCACGAGUGACAACACAUAUGGGGAAAGAUAGCUAAAUAGGCACGAGAAACCAUUCAAAUAGUACAUGCUUUGUACCUAUUUAAAGCUAACAGAUCAGAAGCUAUUGAAGACAUGGAUCUGAUGACGAAAAUGAGUCCAAAUUCAGUAUUAAAUACCCAAUACUUUAGAGAAUUGGUAUUAAAUAGGAAUGAUUGUGUAACGUCUAAUUUAAUGUCAUUUAUUGUUGCAAUGAUCAAAGCUAAUGCCAACUUUUCUAGUUGUUGAUAUCGUGUUUCAGCAUCUAAUAAAGAUUUGCUUACAUAAUUGAUAGGAGAUUAUUUACAUUGGUCCCCUCGUACCAAAACAACACUUACCGCAACUUCUGAUACUGCCAAGUAGAUAAGUAGUUUUUCACCUUCCUUUAGUUUUGAAAAUUGCGGAGGAUUUGACAAGUAAGAUUUCAAAUUCUUAAAGGCUUGCUGACAAUCUUCGUUCAAUUCAAAAUGGUCUUGCUAUUAGAGAGCCGAGAAGAACUUAAAACAAGUUUUAGAAGAUUUAGAAAUAAAUAUUCCCAGGGCUGCGAUUCUUACCGUUAAUCUAUGAACCUCCUUCUUAUUAGUAAGGAUAUAAGGGAUUUCUUCUAUCACUUUGAGCUGAGAAGGAUUUACCUCAAUCCCACGGUUAGAAACAAGAAAAUCCAAAAAUUUACCUGAGUGAACUCCGAAUGCACACUUUUCAAGGUUGAGUUUCAUGUUAAAUUUUUGUAAAAUUUCAAAUGUAAUAGAUAAAUGAGAAAUAUGAUCAUAAUAAUACUAGGUUUUGACGAGCAUAUCGUCUAUAUAUAUCUUCAUAGUUUUUCCUAAAUUUUCUUGAAACAUUUUUGUGACCAACCUUUGAUAGGUUGCUCCAGAAUUUUUGAGAUCGAAUGACAUUACUUUAUAGCAGUAAGUCCCCCUAUCUGUGAUGAAAAAAGUCUUUUCCACAUCACUAGGGUCCAUUUUAAUUUGGUUGUACCUCGAAUAUGUAUCUAAAAAGCUUAAAGUUCAUGACCUACAGUUGCAUCAAUUAACUAAUCUAUAUGCGGUAAAGGAAAAGAGUCUUUUGGGCAAGCUUUGUUUAGAUCAGUAUAAUCCCCACAAAUGCGCCACUUACCAUUUUUCUUAGAUACGACCACCUUGUUAGCUAACCAAUUAGGAUACUUUACCUUGUGGAUCAACCCAAUCUUUAAUAAGUUUUGGACCUCAUCUUGAAUAACCUGGUCCUUGAAAGCCCCUCGCUUUCUUUACUUUUGCUUUAUUGGUGUGAAAGAUGGGUCCUCGUUUAGUUUGUGGGUCAUCACAUCCGGUGGUAUCCCUGUCAUAUCAGUGUGGGAUCAAGCAAAACAAUCCAUGUUAGCUUUUAAUAACUCAAUUAACAUACCUCGCAUGUUGGGAUUUAGAUUGGCUCCUACAUAAACCUUUCAUUUAGGCCAUUGCUCAAAUAGCACUACAACCUCGAGCUCCUGUUGUUUAAAUGUUCUCGUUUUCUUCAGGUUCUUGAAUCACAUCAGCUCUCGAGUCUAAGUCUGUUUUAUCUUGUUCAGUUGAAGUUUGAUUGUUGACACCGUCAACUGUUUCCUCUAAUUGCUAUUUUUCUUUACUUAUGGCGCUUGUAUCUGUUACGGCAUGGAUACUCCUGGUUGUUUGCUGAUCCCCUUCAAUUUGAAAAAUUCCCCAUGGUGACGGAAACUUAAUAACUUGAUGCAGAAUUGAUAGAACAACAUCCACAUCAUGGACCCAAGGUCUCCCAUGAUCAUAUUGUCGGUCAUUUCCAUAUCAACUACCUGGAAUUUAGUUUCUUUAAUAACACCUGCAGCAAAAGUUGUUAGAAUUACCUCUCCUUUUGUUACCUUGCUUGAAUUGUCGAAGCCUGACAAGGUAUGCACCUUGGGUAUCAUUUUGUCUUCAGCUUGCAUUUCCCGUAAUACCCUUAGUAGGAUGAUAUUUGCAGAACUCCCUGGGUCAAUCAAAAUUCAUUUUACAUUAGUCUCAUGUAUAAGCAAAGAUAUUACAGUGUGUCAUUGUGAAGAGUAAUCACUCCUUCUGUAUCUGCGUCAUCAAAGUUUAUGCUUUCGUGCUCUAAGGUCUGGCGCACUCACUUCCCGUUUGUGAUUGUUACUUUGGAAACCUUAUUUGAAGUUGUAUACGUUACUCCAUAAAUAUCUUUUCCCCUACUGAUGACGUUCAUGGUUCUCUUAGAUGAUUGUGGUUUCGGUGGCUCUUACCUAUUUUUCAUAUAGGCUUGUUUUCCUUUCUCACUAAAUAACUCAAUGAGAUAUCCUUGCUUCAAUAGAUGAUCCAUUUCACUUUGUAGGAAUCUGCAUUCUGAUGUUUUAUGCUCGUGGUCGUUGUGGAAUUCACACCAAUGGUCCGGAUUACGCCUGUUUGGAUUUGACCGCAUCUCCUUCGGCCACCGUACCUUGUCUCCCAUACUCCUUAGAACAGCUACGAUCUCAGAAUUAGAUAUAUUUAAAUUAUUGCCACCGAAUCGUGCCUUUAAAUAGUCAUCCCGUGGCUCUUAAUUGCUUCGAUCACCUCUGAACCUGGAUGAAGACCCGGUCUCCCUGUUUCUUGGCCGUUGAUCAUAUCGUUGGUUAUCUUGUUUUGAUCGUGAAUCUCUUCCUGCAGGUCCCAUAUAAGGAUCAUAUCUAUUCUUACCUGAUUUUUUCAGCCUCUGAUCUCCUGGAUCCGCUCCUUUUUUCACGAUGGUACUGAGGUACGACAUCUUCUUCAAUUCUGAGCUUCGUAUUAUACCUGUUAUAAGCAUCAUUCUAAGUGGUUGCAGGAAAUUCACAAAGACUUUCCUUAAGCGUUCUCGUGGCUUAUGAACUUUAGUCAUUCAAAUUGCUUGUAAAAGCUAUUGCUGCCCAAUUGUCUGGUACACGAGGCAGAGUCUUUCUUUCACGCUGGAAUCUAACAACAAAAUCUUUUAGCAGUUCAGAGUCCUCUUUUUUGAUUUUGAAAAUAUCCUCCAUUCUAUUCUCAACCUUUUGAGCUCCCGAGUGUACUUUAAUAAAAUAAUCUGCAAGCUCAACAAAAUAAUUUUCAUGUAAAAGAGAAUACUAGGUUAAUGCACCCUUGGUUAGCGUUUCUUCAAAUUUCUUAACCAACACUGAUUCGACUUCUUGUUUGGUCAAGCCGUUGCCUUUCACGCCGGUUGUAAAUGCAGUCACGUGGUCAUGUGGUUCUGCUAUACCAUCAUAUUUUGGGAUGUCGGGCAUUUUGAACUUUUUAGGAAUUGGGAGAGGAUCAGCAGUUGAAUUCGAAGGUUCUUGUGAGUAAUUAUCUAGAUCCACUCCUUUAAUAAUAGGAGGAACUUCCGGAAUUUGCUCAUUACGCUCAUUUUGUUCCUUAAUCCGUUUCUACAAGGUUAGUACUAAAUUUUGUAGAUAAGAAUUAUUUGAAUUACCUGAUUCCCCUUCCUGUGGUUCACUAGUAGUUCUUCCUUUUCCAGAAUUAAUAAGACCAGAAUAGGGAUUAUCCAAUGUACUAUUAUUAGAAGUUGGUGUAGGCGGUACAGCUGGUAAUCGAUUCACUAGAGCUUGAAGAGCUUUGCCGACUUGUGCAUCAAUUAUCUUUUGUAAAGCCUCAUUUUCACCUCCUUCAAAAUGUUCAGAUUGUUCUUGUUGAUCAACACGAGAUUCAGGAGCAUGAGUACCUUCGAGAUUGUUGUGAUGAAUCUGGAGGGGAGAGAUCCACAUUUUUUUAAUUUUAAAAAUUGAACCCGCCCCGCCCCGAAAUCGCACCGCCCCAUUACCAUCCCUACAUAUUCAGAAUGGACAUCCACAUUUUACAAGACCUAGAAAUUCUAAGUUAUUACAACUCAUCGACGAUAAAACAUUGCUUUUGGAAUACCAUCUCUUAGUCUUUCCUAUCUUGUCAAAACAAUUGUUAACAAGAAGUACUUAGAUAGGCUAUCCUAUGGCAAAUACUGAAGAAUUGAUACUACGCAGCAUCUAAUCUAUCAAAAACUCAUAGAAGUAUUCUCUGGGACUGACAAUGAAAUAAACAUGACCAUAAGCUACUCGAUGCUGCAAAAUAUUUUUUAGUCAAUACAUUUUUCUCUCUACCUGCACAAGGUAGGGGUAAAGUUGAAUGCUCACUGCUCCCCCAAACCCGACUUGUGAAAUUACACUCGGUAUAUUGUAGUUAUGUUUUCCAAGAUCUGUAUAGUAGAAAUAUUCUAUAGCAUCUUUUAUGCUGUCACGAUCUCCUUAGCAUCUUUUAUCACUUGAAAAGGAAAAAUGUUUCGUCAAAUCGUAGAAAUAUUUCUACUACGAAAGAGGCAUAGAGUAUGUCAUACAGAAGCCAAAUACAAUAUUCAUUACGUUGUGCAGAACACAAUCAGUUAAAACAUUUUUAUAGUAAUUCUUAGUAAUGCCUAUUGAAUCAGCCAUUGAAAUCUUUAAGAAAAUAGACAUCAGCAAAGAGAGAAUGCAGAUAGGAUAAAGAGUGAGUGAUGAUUUAGUACCAGUGACGGAUGAAAUUGCAGGUGAUCGAAGUCCAACCUAAGAAGAAAACCAGAUAUUAGUCGAAACUGCAGGUGAUACGAGAAUCAUAGCGAGAUUUAAUACCGACGAUGGAUGAAUUUGGUGGGUGCGGCUGGGAGUGAUGCUGAUGAAUUUGAGAGGGCG